UACGGGAGUGGCAAGCGUUAUCCGGAAUUAUUGGGCGUAAAGCGUCCGCAGGCGGCCUUGAAAGUCUGUCGUUAAAGCGUGGAGCUUAACUCCAUUUAAGCGAUGGAAACUACAAGGCUAGAGUGUGGUAGGGGCAGAGGGAAUUCCCGGUGUAGCGGUGAAAUGCGUAGAUAUCGGGAAGAACACCAGUGGCGAAGGCGCUCUGCUGGGCCAUAACUGACGCUCAUGGACGAAAGCCAGGGGAGCGAAAGGG
This 253-nucleotide ribosomal RNA is filed under the name uncultured Synechococcus sp. Its description in RNAcentral is "partial 16S ribosomal RNA". It matches the Rfam family "Bacterial small subunit ribosomal RNA", at positions 524 to 776 of the family's 1533-position model. The record is from RNAcentral. Lineage: Bacteria; Bacillati; Cyanobacteriota; Cyanophyceae; Synechococcales; Synechococcaceae.